This 150-nucleotide unclassified non-coding RNA is filed under the name uncultured fungus. RNAcentral describes it as "sequence contains ITS1, 5.8S rRNA gene". Lineage: Eukaryota; Fungi. The record is from RNAcentral.
AAGAGUUUGAAGACUAGGCAACUAGUUGAUCUCUCACCCAUGAAUUCUUUACUUGUUGCUUCGGUGGUGAGUCCGAUGAAAAGUCAGACGAACCACCAAAGUGAUAAAACUUCUUGUUUCUACAGUCUGAGAAUACAUUCAAAUUAUGAA